RNAcentral lists this ribosomal RNA (254 nucleotides) under uncultured bacterium. Its description in RNAcentral is "partial 16S ribosomal RNA". It matches the Rfam family "Bacterial small subunit ribosomal RNA", at positions 524 to 776 of the family's 1533-position model. The record is from RNAcentral.
UACGUAGGGUCCGAGCGUUGUCCGGAUUUAUUGGGCGUAAAGAGCUCGUAGGCGGUUCCGUAAGUCAGAUGUGAAAACUCAGGGCUCAACCCGGAGACGCCAUCUGAUACUGCGGUGACUGGAGUCUGGUAGGGGAACACGGAAUUCCUGGUGUAGCGGUGAAAUGCGCAGAUAUCAGGAGGAACACCGAUGGCGAAGGCAGGUCUCUGGGCCGAUACUGACGCUGAGGAGCGAAAGCGUGGGGAGCGAACAGG